This is a non-coding RNA of Trichonephila clavipes, 74 nucleotides long. The record is from the annotation of a GenBank genome assembly. Lineage: Eukaryota; Metazoa; Arthropoda; Arachnida; Araneae; Nephilidae.
AGGAGCUUAGCUCAGAUGGUAGAGCAUUCGCUUAGCAUGCGAGAGGUACGGGGAUCGAUAAACUCGCGCUUCCA